GGGAAUGUGGCUCAGUGGUAGAGUGCUUGCCUCACAUGCAUGAGGCCCUGUGUUUGAUCCCUCAGCACCA
RNAcentral lists this transfer RNA (70 nucleotides) under Dipodomys ordii (Ord's kangaroo rat). It matches the Rfam family "tRNA". From Rfam's summary of the family: Transfer RNA (tRNA) molecules are approximately 80 nucleotides in length. Their secondary structure includes four short double-helical elements and three loops (D, anti-codon, and T loops). The record is from Rfam by way of RNAcentral. Lineage: Eukaryota; Metazoa; Chordata; Mammalia; Rodentia; Heteromyidae.